ACGACGCUUCAGAAUUGACUCCUCGUUUCUUCAAGCCAUUAACUGAUCUCACUCUCUCUCUAAUCUCCUUUCCUAGAAUAAAAAAUUUUGAUUUCAUUAUAAAAGAUGCGGCCACCCUUUGUCUUUGAUUCUUAGUUCUUCACAAAAUCACGACAUCAAUGUUUCACCUUCAAGCUACCUUGCUAUCAUCACCAAUUCAACGCUCAUGGAAUCAAGAAGUUCCAGCUUCAUCCCAAAAUCCUAAGCCCAUGAUAGAUAGCCCCCACAACCAAGUGUUGAUGUUGUUGGAACUACAGAUGGGCAGGUUGUUAGAGCAACAAAUGGACAAGUUAUUGAAGUUAUAAAAGAUGAUGAAGCCGGUCCAAGCUUUGUGGAUUUUGAUAUUUAGUUCAUGAAAAAUUGUUGUUUUUAUUUUAGUUAUUUAACAAACAUGAGGAUGUCGUGCUUAUCUUUUUCUUUAUGUUUUUACUUUUUUGUGUACCAGAAUGAAGUGUGAAUUGUUGAAUGUUUUAGUUAUCAUGAUUAUUACUAUGUCUUUUUU
Molecule: non-coding RNA, 541 nt
Organism: Lactuca sativa (garden lettuce)
Lineage: Eukaryota; Viridiplantae; Streptophyta; Magnoliopsida; Asterales; Asteraceae
Source: RefSeq, a predicted model, not a curated record